UACGUAGGGUGCGAGCGUUGUCCGGAAUUAUUGGGCGUAAAGAGCUUGUAGGCGGUCUGUCGCGUCUGCUGUGAAAAUCCGGGGCUCAACCCCGGACUUGCAGUGGGUACGGGCAGACUAGAGUGUGGUAGGGGAGACUGGAAUUCCUGGUGUAGCGGUGAAAUGCGCAGAUAUCAGGAGGAACACCGAUGGCGAAGUCAGGUCUCUGGGCCACUACUGACGCUGAGAAGCGAAAGCAUGGGGAGCGAACAGG
This 253-nucleotide ribosomal RNA is filed under the name uncultured bacterium. Its description in RNAcentral is "partial 16S ribosomal RNA". It matches the Rfam family "Bacterial small subunit ribosomal RNA", at positions 524 to 776 of the family's 1533-position model. The record is from RNAcentral.